UACGUAGGGUGCAAGCGUUAAUCGGAAUUACUGGGCGUAAAGCGUGCACAGGCGGGUUUGUAAGUCUUGCGUGAAAUCCCCGGGCUCAACCUGGGAAUUGCGAUGGAGACUGCAAGGCUAGAAUCUGGCAGAGGGGGGUAGAAUUCCACGUGUAGCAGUGAAAUGCGUAGAGAUGUGGAGGAACACCGAUGGCGAAGGCAGCCCCCUGGGUCAAGAUUGACGCUCAUGCACGAAAGCGUGGGGAGCAAACAGG
RNAcentral lists this ribosomal RNA (253 nucleotides) under uncultured bacterium. Its description in RNAcentral is "partial 16S ribosomal RNA". It matches the Rfam family "Bacterial small subunit ribosomal RNA", at positions 524 to 776 of the family's 1533-position model. The record is from RNAcentral.